This 468-nucleotide ribosomal RNA is filed under the name uncultured bacterium. RNAcentral describes it as "partial 16S ribosomal RNA". It matches the Rfam family "Bacterial small subunit ribosomal RNA", at positions 28 to 507 of the family's 1533-position model. The record is from RNAcentral.
GACGAACGCUGGCGGCGUGCUUAACACAUGCAAGUCGAACGGAAAGGCCCUGCUUUUGUGGGGUGCUCGAGUGGCGAACGGGUGAGUAACACGUGAGUAACCUGCCCUUGACUUUGGGAUAACUUCAGGAAACUGGGGCUAAUACCGGAUAGGAGCUCCUGCUGCAUGGUGGGGGUUGGAAAGUUUCGGCGGUUGGGGGUGGACUCGCGGCUUAUCAGCUUGGUGGGGGGGUAGUGGCGUACCAAGGCUUUGACGGGUAGCCGGCCUGGGAGGGUGACCGGCCACAUUGGGACUGAGAUACGGCCCAGACUCCUACGGGAGGCAGCAGUGGGGAAUAUUGCACAAUGGGCGGAAGCCUGAUGCAGCAACGCCGCGUGCGGGAUGACGGCCUUCGGGUUGUAAACCGCUUUCGCCUGUGACGAAGCGUGAGUGACGGUAAUGGGUAAAGAAGCACCGGCUAACUACGUG